UAACAAGGUCUCCGUUGGUGAACCAGCGGAGGGAUCAUUACUGAGUUUACGCUCUAUAACCCUUUGUGAACAUACCUAUAACUGUUGCUUCGGCGGGUAGGGUCUCCGUGACCCUCCCGGCCUCCCGCCCCCGGGCGGGUCGGCGCCCGCCGGAGGAUAACCAAACUCUGAUUUAACGACGUUUCUUCUGAGUGGUACAAGCAAAUAAUCAAAACUUUUAACAACGGAUCUCUUGGUUCUGGCAUCGAUGAAGAACGCAGCGAAAUGCGAUAAGUAAUGUGAAUUGCAGAAUUCAGUGAAUCAUCGAAUCUUUGAACGCACAUUGCGCCCGCCAGCAUUCUGGCGGGCAUGCCUGUUCGAGCGUCAUUUCAACCCUCAAGCUCUGCUUGGUGUUGGGGCCCUACAGCUGAUGUAGGCCCUCAAAGGUAGUGGCGGACCCUCCCGGAGCCUCCUUUGCGUAGUAACUUUACGUCUCGCACUGGGAUCCGGAGGGACUCUUGCCGUAAAACCCCCAAUUUUCCAAAGGUUGACCUCGGAUCAGGUAGGAAUACCCGCUGAACUUAAGCAUAU
This 570-nucleotide ribosomal RNA is filed under the name Colletotrichum aenigma. RNAcentral describes it as "eukaryotic LSU rRNA". The stretch from base 213 to 366 matches the Rfam family "5.8S ribosomal RNA". Lineage: Eukaryota; Fungi; Ascomycota; Sordariomycetes; Glomerellales; Glomerellaceae. The record is from RNAcentral.